This 497-nucleotide ribosomal RNA is filed under the name uncultured bacterium. RNAcentral's name for it is "partial 16S ribosomal RNA". It matches the Rfam family "Bacterial small subunit ribosomal RNA", at positions 28 to 507 of the family's 1533-position model. The record is from RNAcentral.
GAUGAACGCUGGCGGCGUGCUUAACACAUGCAAGUCGAGCGAACGGACGCGACGUUUGCUUCUCUGAUGUUAGCGGCGGACGGGUGUGUCACACGUGGAUAACCCCCCUAUCAUACUGGGAUAACCUCGGGACACCGGCGCUUAUCCCGUAUAAUCUUUUGCUCCGCAUGGUUCAAAAGAGAAAGACGGUCGUUCUGUCACUUCUAGAGGGUUAUGCGCUGCAUUAGCUAGUAGUGAAGUUAAAGGCCUAUCAAGGCGAGGAUGCCUAGCCGACCGGAGAGGCUGGUCGGCCGCACUGGAGGUGAGACACGGUCCAGACUCCUGCGGGAGGCAGCAGUAGGCAAUCGGCCGCAAUGGGCGGGAACCUGACGGAACGGCGCCGAGUGAGUGGUGAAGGUCUUCGGAUCGGAAAACUCUGUUAUUAGGGAAGAACAUAUGUGUACGUAACUGUGCACAUCUUGACGGUACCUAGUCAAAAAGCCACGGCUAACUACGUG